This 224-nucleotide ribosomal RNA is filed under the name uncultured bacterium. Its description in RNAcentral is "partial 16S ribosomal RNA". It matches the Rfam family "Bacterial small subunit ribosomal RNA", at positions 28 to 253 of the family's 1533-position model. The record is from RNAcentral.
GAUGAACGCUGGCGGCGUGCUUAAGACAUGCAAGUCGAACGGAGUGUGUAGCAAUACUCACUAAGUGGCGAAUGGGUGAGUAACACGUAGGUGACCUGCCCUGAGCUCUGGGAUAAGCCUGGGAAACCGGGUCUAAUACCGGAUAUGACUCCAUGACGCAUGUUGUGGGGNGGUAAAGGCCUUGUGCGGCUGAGGAUGGGCCCGCGGCCUAUCAGCUUGNGGUU